Molecule: non-coding RNA, 95 nt
Organism: Acanthosepion pharaonis
Lineage: Eukaryota; Metazoa; Mollusca; Cephalopoda; Sepiida; Sepiidae
Source: the annotation of a GenBank genome assembly
UGAAACACUGGUUCUCAUUUGAUCACCAAAUUUAUGCAACGUUGAGCCUGGUCAGUACAUAGAUGGGUGACCGCUUGGGAAUACCAGGUGCUAUA